AGUUUGACCUCGGAUCAGGUAGGGAUACCCGCUGAACUUAAGCAUAUCAAUAAGCGGAGGAAAAGAAACCAACAGGGAUUGCCUCAGUAACGGCGAGUGAAGCGGCAACAGCUCAAAUUUGAAAUCUGGCCUCCUUCGGUGGUCCGAGUUGUAAUUUGCAGAGGGUGCUUUGGUGUUGAUAGCGGUCUAAGUUCCUUGGAACAGGACGUCACAGAGGGUGAGAAUCCCGUACGUGGUCGCACGUCUCCACCGUGUAAAGCCCCUUCGACGAGUCGAGUUGUUUGGGAAUGCAGCUCUAAAUGGGAGGUAAAUUUCUCCUAAAGCUAAAUACUGGCCAGAGACCGAUAGCGCACAAGUAGAGUGAUCGAAAGAUGAAAAGCACUUUGGAAAGAGAGUCAAAAAGCACGUGAAAUUGUUGAAAGGGAAGCGCUUGCCGCCAGACUUGCCCGUAGUUGCUCACCCGGACUUUUGCCCGGGGCACUCUUCUGCGGGCAGGCCAGCAUCAGUUUGGGCGACCGGAUAAUGGCCUCUGUCAUGUAUCUUCCUUCGGGAUGACCUUAUAGGGGAGGCGUAAUGCGGCCAGCCUGGACUGAGGUCCGCGCAUCUGCUAGGAUGCUGGCGUAAUGGCUGUAAGCGGCCCGUCUUGAAACACGGACCAAGGAGUCUAACAUCUAUGCGAGUGUUUGGGUGUCAAGCCCGGGCGCGUAAUGAAAGUGAACGGAGGUGGGAACCCCCUUGGGGUGCACCAUCGACCGAUCCUGAUGUUCUCGGAUGGAUUUGAGUAAGAGCAUAGCUGUUGGGACCCGAAAGAUGGUGAACUAUGCUUGAAUAGGGUGAAGCCAGAGGAAACUCUGGUGGAGGCUCGCAGCGGUUCUGACGUGCAAAUCGAUCGUCAAAUUUGGGCAUAGGGGCGAAAGGACUAAUCGAACUAUCUAGUAGCUGGUUCCUGCCGAA
This 954-nucleotide ribosomal RNA is filed under the name uncultured Ascomycota. RNAcentral describes it as "eukaryotic LSU rRNA". It matches the Rfam family "Eukaryotic large subunit ribosomal RNA", at positions 1 to 965 of the family's 3401-position model. The record is from RNAcentral. Lineage: Eukaryota; Fungi; Ascomycota.